ACUGCUCAGUAACACGUGGACAACCUACCCUUGGGUCUGGCAUAAUCCUGGGAAACUGGGUAUAAUUCCGGAUAGGUCACAGAUGCUGGAAUGCACUGUGGCCGAAAGCUCCGGCGCCCAAGGAUGGGUCUGCGGCCUAUCAGGGUUGUAGUGGGUGUAACGGACCUACUAGCCUACGACGGGUACGGGUUGUGAGAGCAAGAGCCCGGAGAUGGAUUCUGAGACACGAAUCCAGGCCCUACGGGGUGCAGCAGGCGCGAAAACUUUACAAUGCGGGAAACCGUGAUAAGGGAAUCUCGAGUGCCAGCAUAUAAUGUUGGCUGUCCAGAUGCCUAAAAAGCAUCUGUUAGCAAGGGCCGGGCAAGACCGGUGCCAGCCGCCGCGGUAACACCGGCGGCCCGAGUGGUAACCGCUUUUAUUGGGUCUAAAGGGUCUGUAGCCGGCCAAGUAAGUCCCUUGGGAAAUCUGGCAGCUUAACUGUCAGGCUGCUAGGGGAUACUGCUAGGCUUGGGACCGGGAGAGGUGAGAGGUACCUUGGGGGUAGGGGUGAAAUCUUGUGAUCCUCGGGGGACCACCAGUGGCGAAGGCGUCUCACCAGAACGGGUCCGACGGUAAGGGACGAAAGCUAGGGGCACGAACCGGAUUAGAUACCCGGGUAGUCCUAGCCGUAAACGAUGCUCGCUAGGUGUCAGUCACGGUGCGACCGUGAUUGGUGCCGUAGGGAAGCCGUGAAGCGAGCCACCUGGGAAGUAUGGCCGCAAGGCUGAAGCUUAAAGGAAUUGGCGGGGGAGCAC
This 794-nucleotide ribosomal RNA is filed under the name uncultured Methanosaeta sp. Its description in RNAcentral is "bacterial SSU rRNA". It matches the Rfam family "Archaeal small subunit ribosomal RNA", at positions 85 to 879 of the family's 1478-position model. The record is from RNAcentral. Lineage: Archaea; Methanobacteriati; Methanobacteriota; Methanomicrobia; Methanotrichales; Methanotrichaceae.